This 440-nucleotide ribosomal RNA is filed under the name uncultured bacterium. RNAcentral's name for it is "bacterial SSU rRNA". It matches the Rfam family "Bacterial small subunit ribosomal RNA", at positions 340 to 773 of the family's 1533-position model. The record is from RNAcentral.
UACGGAAGGCAGCAGUGGGGAAUAUUGCACAAUGGGCGCAAGCCUGAUGCAGCCAUGCCGCGUGUAUGAAAAAGGCCUUCGGGUUGUAAAGUACUUUCAGUCGUGAGGAAGGUGUUAAGGUUAAUAACCUUAGCAAUUGACGUUAGCGACAGAAGAAGCACCGGCUAACUCCGUGCCAGCAGCCGCGGUAAUACGGAGGGUGCGAGCGUUAAUCGGAAUUACUGGGCGUAAAGGGCACGCAGGCGGUUAAUUAAGUUGGAUGUGAAAUCCCCGGGCUUAACCUGGGAAUGGCAUUCAAGACUGGUUAGCUAGAGUCUUGUGGAGGGGGUUAGAAUUCCAUGUGUAGCGGUGAAAUGCGUAGAGAUGUGGAGGAAUACCGGUGGCGAAGGCGGCCCCUGGACAAAGACUGACGCUCAUGUGCGAAAGCGUGGGGAGCAAAC